UUUGUUUCUGCCCCCAUGGCUCCUACCCCUGUUUUUGUGGGUGCAAUUUUCAGAUAGAACAUUUUUACACAAGCUUCAAAACUCUCUGAGGACAGCUUUCCCCUUUGCGUCUGUCGGGUCCCAGGCAGUCACAUCCCAGGAAGUGCUGGGGUUGGGCUCCUUGCUCCACAUCCUUCUUCAGUGGCACGAAGCGUGGGGUGGAGUGUGUGAGUCAUGUGUGAUCUUGGUGUGGGCUAUGGCUGGUCUGCAGCACCCCUUCAAUGACUGCUUCAAGGGCUUUUCAUGAUGCUUGUAGCUCAUGAGCUAGUGUUUCCUAGACGCUGUUUCCAGGUGUCUUGCAUGUCACACACUGGCCUACCAGGGCUGGAGUGAGAUCAUGAGCGCCAGAUUGUUGGUGAAGGAAGUUGACAGAGACAUCGAAUGUCGGUGAACAGGAGUGACCUUGGGUCUCAAUAAAUACUGUGGUCUACUGAAUCCAGAACCCACCCUUACCAGCAGGGCCCACUUCUUCCCCAGCAGGCCGAGCUCUUCCCCUCCUGUCUUCCCUGGCCCUUGCUUUGUAGCUCUGUGUGGCUGUGUCAUGUCUGGUUGUAUCUGUGUAUACUUCUGCCUCUCCCGCUAUCUAGAUGGCUCGGGGAGGCACACCACACACCAGGUCACCUUCCUCUCUGAACCCCCAGCACCUCAUACUGUUUCUGUGCAGAGAUAAGGCUGGGUGAAAGCUUGUGUGAAUGAUCUGAAGUCUUCUACUCUAGGCCAGUCUCCAGGAGCAUUAUGAUCUUUAGGAGGGUGGGCUUGGUUCCUCUGUACAAUAAUGGGUCAUAAAACUGAGUGGUCAAGAUCAUCCCGGUGAGGGCAGUCCGUGUGUUGCCAUAGUUGCUGUACCGGUUAAGAAUGCACCUGGCUGCAAUUUCCUGAAAACCUGACGUAUAGUGGCUUAAACAAAGAGUGGUUUAUUUUCCUUCUGUCAUAGCAAUCUGGGGGAGGCCACUGUGGCUUUGGCGCAGGAGGUCGGGAAAGGCCCGCUUCUCUGAUAUCACUGGGGGCCUCCCCAGUGCUUGUGUGGCAGAAUGACAAGAGGAAGAAGAAGGAGAAUUAUGGCACUGAGUAUCAUGAGAUUUGGGGUCAUAUAUCUUUAGUGGGCGGUGUUUGCUGCCCCAAAUGUCUCAUGCCAUUAAAAUGUUCUGGAAAUGAUUUAGGUAGUUGGAGUUUCCUUCCCAAAGACAAGGCAUUUACAGCAUGAUGUCCAAUAUCCAUUGAGUUUGUGUCAUGCAUUCAUUGUAUUCAUAGUCUGCUUUAGGUACUUAGCAAAAUAUUGCUGAUAUUAACAUGCCUUUGUUUGCUUCACUGGAGAUGAAAUUGUGCUCCAAGUGUUUUCCAAGGUUCCGUAUGACCCAUCAUUUGAUGAAACAAGAACAGCAGUCAGAUCCAUUACAAAGAGAGACACACAAAAAAGCUCUUCCCAACAAAAGAGCUUGAACAAUGCUGCAUUUGCCUCAGGUUCAAAUGAGCGAGAGGAACAUUUGGCUAAAAUAUUUGGAACCAGCGUUGCUUGGAAUUCUCCUAAACCAGAAUAUUUCCUUGGCAGUGUGGACAAAAUUCCUGAUAAAGAUCACCUUUCAGAGGAGAAGAAUUUUAAAGAAUCCUGUCUGUUCCACAGGGAUUUAAGAGAGCAGUUAACUACUGUAGAUAAAGAAACACUUCAAGGAGCAGCUAAACCAGGUGGGAAUCUGUAUGGCCUAUAAACUAAGUAUGAUGCUUAAAUACG
This 1768-nucleotide long non-coding RNA is filed under the name Pan troglodytes (chimpanzee). RNAcentral's name for it is "long non-coding RNA NONPTRT010227". The record is from RNAcentral. Lineage: Eukaryota; Metazoa; Chordata; Mammalia; Primates; Hominidae.